UUUUUGCGUUAGGGAUAAAAGUGGAAAUCCUUUUUUAUUGUGGAGCGCGAGCGGAAUAAUAAAAAAGAUUGAAACGGAUAGCCCGAUUCGCC
RNAcentral lists this small RNA (92 nucleotides) under Flavobacterium micromati. RNAcentral describes it as "Flavo-1 RNA". It matches the Rfam family "Flavo-1 RNA". Lineage: Bacteria; Pseudomonadati; Bacteroidota; Flavobacteriia; Flavobacteriales; Flavobacteriaceae. The record is from Rfam by way of RNAcentral.